UGAGGCAAGGGACGAGCUUCAUAGGAUGUUGAAUGAGGAUGAACUAAGAGAGGCUGUGCUGCUUGUUUUUGCAAACAAACAAGAUCUUCCAAACGCAAUGAAUGCAGCUGAAAUCACCGACAAACUUGGACUUCAUUCUCUUCGACAGAGGCACUGGUAUAUCCAGAGUACAUGUGCCACUUCUGGAGAAGGGUUAUACGAGGGACUUGAUUGGCUAUCGAACAAUAUUUCAAACAAGGCUUAGAGCAUCAAUUAGAUUCUGCCCUCGCUUGUCGCUCGCUUACCUAUAUCUGGAGUAUAGAUGUUAAACACCGUUUGGUUAUUUUGGAUAGAAAGAAGAUCAAUUUCUGAAAAAUAUCCUGCAUUUCUUUCCCUUUUCAUGCUUUGGUUAGUUGCUACUUUGCUUGCAAUGUAAAACAUUAAUAUUGUUUUUUCGUAUCGUAGCCGGAGCUACUUUAACCCUUUUAAUUGUGUCUUCCCCGUCUCCAACACACUUCAUCUUCACCCUAGCUUCCGACCCUUGUAAUUUUGUAUAUAUAUCCAUGAAUAAAUUGAUGAUAUAAAGAAGCAUUGAUGAUAUAAAGA
RNAcentral lists this unclassified non-coding RNA (585 nucleotides) under Hevea brasiliensis (rubber tree). Lineage: Eukaryota; Viridiplantae; Streptophyta; Magnoliopsida; Malpighiales; Euphorbiaceae. The record is from RNAcentral.